This 414-nucleotide ribosomal RNA is filed under the name uncultured microorganism. RNAcentral's name for it is "bacterial SSU rRNA". It matches the Rfam family "Archaeal small subunit ribosomal RNA", at positions 459 to 872 of the family's 1478-position model. The record is from RNAcentral.
CAGCCGCCGCGGUAAUACCGGCGGCCCGAGUGGCGGCCACUAUUAUUGGGCUUAAAGCGUCCGUAGCCGGGUUGGUUAGUCUCCCGGGAAAUCUGGCCGCUUAACGGUCAGAAUGCCGGAGGAUACUCCCAGCCUAGGGAGCGGGAGAGGCCGAGGGGAUUCCCGGAGGAGGGGGGAAAUCCUAUAAUCCCGGGAGGACCACCUGUGGCGAAGGCGCUCGGCUGGAACGCGUCCGACGGUGAGGGACGAAGGCCAGGGGAGCAAACCGGAUUAGAUACCCGGGUAGUCCUGGCUGUAAACGAUGCGGACUUUGUGUCGGACAAGCUAUGAGCUUGUCCGGUGCCGGAGGGAAACCGUUAAGUCCGCCGCCUGGGGAGUACGGCCGCAAGGCUGAAACUUAAAGGAAUUGGCGGG